AGCUUUGCACAGUGGCAGUAUCGUAGCCAAUGAGGUUUAUCUGAGGUGCAAUUAUUGCUAAUUGAAAAUUUUUUUUUAAUUUUAUUUUUUAUUUUAGUCAUCAUACAUUACAUCAUUAGUUUUUGAUGUAGUGUUCCAUGAUUCAUU
Mirounga angustirostris (Northern elephant seal) is the source of this 147-nucleotide small nuclear RNA. RefSeq annotates it as U4 spliceosomal RNA. The record is from RefSeq and is a predicted model, not a curated record. NCBI's taxonomy places the organism in Eukaryota, Metazoa, Chordata, Mammalia, Carnivora, Phocidae. The transcript has a single exon.